GCGCCCGUGGCCUAAUGGA
This 19-nucleotide non-coding RNA is filed under the name Arabidopsis thaliana (thale cress). Lineage: Eukaryota; Viridiplantae; Streptophyta; Magnoliopsida; Brassicales; Brassicaceae. The record is from RNAcentral.